Molecule: transfer RNA, 87 nt
Filed under: Fidelibacterota bacterium
Lineage: Bacteria; Pseudomonadati; Fidelibacterota
Description: tRNA-Ser
Rfam family: tRNA
About the family: Transfer RNA (tRNA) molecules are approximately 80 nucleotides in length. Their secondary structure includes four short double-helical elements and three loops (D, anti-codon, and T loops).
Source: RNAcentral
GGAGAGAUGGCAGAGUCUGGCUGAAUGCGCUGCACUCGAAAUGCAGUUUACACUUGUGUAACGGGGGUUCGAAUCCCUCUCUCUCCG